Molecule: ribosomal RNA, 250 nt
Filed under: uncultured prokaryote
Description: partial 16S ribosomal RNA
Rfam family: Bacterial small subunit ribosomal RNA
Source: RNAcentral
UACGUAGGUGGCGAGCGUUAUCCGGAAUUACUGGGUGUAAAGGGUGUGUAGGCGGGAAGCCAAGUCAGAUGUUAAAAUUACGGAUUCAACCCGUAACCUGCGUCUGAAACUGGUUUUCUUGAGUGUGGGAGAGGUAAACGGAAUUCCUGGUGUAGCGGUGAAAUGCGUAGAUAUCAGGAGGAACACCGGUGGCGAAGGCGGUUUACUGGACCACAACUGACGCUGAGACACGAAAGCGUGGGGAGCAAAC